This is a long non-coding RNA of Pseudoliparis swirei, 656 nucleotides long. RefSeq lists it as uncharacterized. The transcript is spliced from 3 exons. The record is from RefSeq and is a predicted model, not a curated record. Lineage: Eukaryota; Metazoa; Chordata; Actinopteri; Perciformes; Liparidae.
GCCUAGUUAGCUCACCUAGCGAGUUAACGGAAACACCCCUGCAGCCUGUGCGCGUGCCUCAGCCCCGUGAGUCCACCGACGCAGCCCGGCCAUUGCUUUCUGCGGUCAGGACGAUUUCCGGCCACUGAUUAUGACGUCAGCGAUUUUUGUGCUGGGAAUCGAGCGACAGUAGAGAACCUAAAGCCUUCCCUUCAUCCAGAGCAAGUGCUCUACCUUGUGCUGACAUUUUGACCUCAACCAGAUGCAACCAAAGCCCUCAGUUGAAAAAAACGUCUUUGCUUCUGAAAUGCUUCCAGCUGGACAUUGUCAGAAGAGCCCUCCAUCGCACUCCCUACCCGUCAAGUAGCUCUCGGUCUCAGAAAGAUUGGCGACUUGAAAGAUUAGAAUGUUGACAUCAUUUUGUUUCAUAGACAUGUCGAACAUUAGGACCUUGCAUGAACCUGCGCAUAUGUACCUCCAUAAAUAAAGGUCGAUCAGUCAGGACUGUCUUCCCGAAUUCACAUGAAUCAUUGGCACAACACUGUGAUAUUGCUCAUCUGUAUAUCUAUGCAUAUUUGAAUGCAUUCAAUCACCAGGUAUCAUGUCUGUAAAGAUUUGUGAUCUUUUUAAAAAAGAAGUUGAGCUUUUCUAAGAUUAAAUAAACCAGUGCAACAGAC